Molecule: long non-coding RNA, 1065 nt
Organism: Serinus canaria (Common canary)
Lineage: Eukaryota; Metazoa; Chordata; Aves; Passeriformes; Fringillidae
Exons: 2
Source: RefSeq, a predicted model, not a curated record
UACAGGAGGAUUAGACUAGAUUUAUUUGUGGUUCAGGUUUCUUUUGAUAGUCUCAAACCAUAUUUUUGGGCAGUCAUCUAUAGUGUCCUAUGGGAAGGUCUGUUAAUGUGCUUCCUCAGCAGCUGAGUUGUGCUGAGAUUGCUGUCCAGUGGCAUGACAUGAGCUGUACUUUGGCAGAGAAGAAGGGAGCUGGUCAGAUGCAGUUUAAAAGACAUCUGCAGAGUACUGGAGAACAGGAAGUCACGUUUAGUCACACUUAUCCUGAAAAAUAAAUGGAAAACUUUUGACUUGGUUUGUUUUCUUUCCUAAAAAGAAGUCCGCUCUGCCUAUCAAGAAGCUGUUUAAACAGAGAGCUUUACUUUCUGUUGUAACAGCAAAGUACUGAAGAUCUUUUCAAAUGUGUUUGUUAAUUAUUUACCUUUAAAGCACCUCGCAUAUCUAAUACAACCUUCUAAAAGCAACAAUCUUCAGAAGAUGGAAGCAUAAUUUAGUGGAAUUGUCACUAUAAGUCUAGGUCUUAAUUCUUUGUUUCUUUCCAAAGCUGAUUAGUUUUUUCUGUAAUAUGUUAGGUGUAGAUCAUACCAAGUCUGGUGUCACAUGAAUAGAAUGGAAUAUUUCAGUUGGAAGGAACUAAAUCAUCUGGUCCAACUGCCUGAUCAAUUCAGGUCUGACUGAAAGUUAAAGCAAAUUAAGGGCAUUGUCCAAAUGCCUCUAACUGUUACUCUUAAAAAUUAUACCAGCUUUUCCAAUGAAAUAUGGUUUCAGUUUCAGAGGCUUUGUAGCUGCCAAGAACUAUGGAGAAAAUUGAGGUGUGGGGUUUUCUUUCUUUUCUUACUUUUGCUGUUACAUUGCAGUUUUCUCAUAACUGGCCUGUGAAAUGUGCUUUUCUUUCUGUCAUAAUGUGUUUUAUGAUCUGUAGGUGAAGAAUGGUGUCCAGUUUUAUGGAAGAUUUUUUAAAAAUAUGCUGGAAGCUAGUGGCAUGAGUAAAUGUACCUAUUGGAAUAUUCUUUCAAAUGCAAAAUUGAUUUGAAAAGUACUCUGAAAUAAAGCAGUGUCAUCAAAACA